GGAAUCUCAUUAAAAUGCAGAGUUGGAAUCAGCAGGUCUUGGGGAGGCCUAAGGUUCUGCAUUUUUAACAAGCUC
This 75-nucleotide microRNA precursor is filed under the name Mustela putorius furo (domestic ferret). RNAcentral's name for it is "miRNA (ENSMPUG00000021754.1)". The record is from RNAcentral. Lineage: Eukaryota; Metazoa; Chordata; Mammalia; Carnivora; Mustelidae.